RNAcentral lists this unclassified non-coding RNA (247 nucleotides) under Hevea brasiliensis (rubber tree). Lineage: Eukaryota; Viridiplantae; Streptophyta; Magnoliopsida; Malpighiales; Euphorbiaceae. The record is from RNAcentral.
UUUAGGAAUAGUACCUGCUUCACUGCAGUGUUCAUGGGCAGGAGAAACAGAUACAUCCUUUGCAGGUGCAUUGUCAUUUGUGGGGCUUUCUUGGCAUGAAACAUGAGAGGUUGGAGUCCCAGCACUCUCUUCCCUAGAGACAUUUCCUGCUUUGGAUCUGCUUGAGCAUCAUCCAAUUUCUGGGGAAAAACCAUUUUGCAGGACCACUUUCUCAUGACUUAAUAGUCUACCUCCUAGCAAUUGAUCU